Molecule: ribosomal RNA, 440 nt
Filed under: uncultured bacterium
Lineage: Bacteria
Description: partial 16S ribosomal RNA
Rfam family: Bacterial small subunit ribosomal RNA
Source: RNAcentral
CCUACGGGUGGCUGCAGUAGGGAAUAUUGCUCAAUGGGCGAAACCCUGAUGCAGCAACGCCGCGUGGAGGAUGAAGGUUUUCGGAUUGUAAACUCCUUUUGUUAGAGAAGAUAAUGACGGUUUCUAACUAAUAAUCACCUGCUAAUUCCUUGUCAGCAGCCGCGGUCAUACGACGGGCGCAAGCGUUCGUCGGUAACACUGGGCGUAAAGAGCUCCUAGGUUGGUUAGCAAGUCAGAUGGGAAAUCCUAUGGCUUAAUCAUAGAAUUGCAUUUGAAACUGUUAUUCUAGAGUCUGGGAGAGGUAGGUGGAAUUCUUGGUGUAGGGGUAAAAUCCGUAGAGAUCAAGAAGAAUACUCAUUGCGAAGGCGACCUGCUAGAACAUAACUGACGCUGAUGCGCGAAAGCGUGGGGAGCAAACAGGAUUAGAUACCCGUGUAGUC